RNAcentral lists this ribosomal RNA (253 nucleotides) under uncultured bacterium. RNAcentral's name for it is "partial 16S ribosomal RNA". It matches the Rfam family "Bacterial small subunit ribosomal RNA", at positions 524 to 776 of the family's 1533-position model. The record is from RNAcentral.
UACGUAGGGGGCAAGCGUUGUCCGGAUUUAUUGGGCGUAAAGAGCGUGUAGGCGGCCAGACAGGUCCGUUGUGAAAACUCGAGGCUCAACCUCGAGACGCCGAUGGAAACCGUCUGGCUAGAGUCCGGAAGAGGAGAGUGGAAUUCCUGGUGUAGCGGUGAAAUGCGCAGAUAUCAGGAGGAACACCGGUGGCGAAGGCGGCAUCCUGGACCAAUUCUGACGCUGAGGAGCGAAAGCCAGGGGAGCAAACGGG